Molecule: ribosomal RNA, 603 nt
Filed under: uncultured bacterium
Lineage: Bacteria
Description: bacterial SSU rRNA
Rfam family: Bacterial small subunit ribosomal RNA
Source: RNAcentral
AUGCAGUCGAACGGCAGCACGGAGCUUGCUCUGGUGGCGAGUGGCGAACGGGUGAGUAAUAUAUCGGAACGUACCCUAGAGUGGGGGAUAACGUAGCGAAAGUUACGCUAAUACCGCAUACGAUCUAAGGAUGAAAGUGGGGGAUCGCAAGACCUCAUGCUCGUGGAGCGGCCGAUAUCUGAUUAGCUAGUUGGUAGGGUAAAAGCCUACCAAGGCAUCGAUCAGUAGCUGGUCUGAGAGGACGACCAGCCACACUGGAACUGAGACACGGUCCAGACUCCUACGGGAGGCAGCAGUGGGGAAUUUUGGACAAUGGGCGAAAGCCUGAUCCAGCAAUGCCGCGUGAGUGAAGAAGGCCUUCGGGUUGUAAUGCUCUUUUGUCAGGGAAGAAACGGUGAGAGCUAAUAUCUCUUGCUAAUGACGGUACCUGAAGAAUAAGCACCGGCUAACUACGUGCCAGCAGCCGCGGUAAUACGUAGGGUGCAAGCGUUAAUCGGAAUUACUGGGCGUAAAGCGUGCGCAGGCGGUUUUGUAAGUCUGAUGUGAAAUCCCCGGGCUCAACCUGAGAAUUGCAUUGGAGACUGCAAGGCUAGAAUCUGGCAG